Molecule: long non-coding RNA, 748 nt
Filed under: Homo sapiens (human)
Lineage: Eukaryota; Metazoa; Chordata; Mammalia; Primates; Hominidae
Description: PREDICTED lncRNA (TCONS_00120225)
Source: RNAcentral
GGGGGAAGAAGAAAAGAGGAUGCCAGUCCUUGUUCCUAGGCCAAGACCUGAGCCCUGUAAUAUUAAUAUUUGGAUCUAAAAUCAGCCUUCCAACAGCAACAUGAAGUUGGCAGCCUUCCUCCUCCUGUGAUCCUCAUCAUCUUCAGCCUAGAGGUACAAGAGCUUCAGGCUGCAGGAGACCGGCUUUUGGAUACUGCUAAUCAGUCCUAGCACUCUUUCUCUUUGAACCUGGACAAGGUGUCUGACCCUUCUCAACACAGCAUCAGACAGCCACCUCUAUUGACUGAAGUUGACAAUGGAGAAUAAAACUCAUUACCCCUGCUGAAUCCAGGGGCCCCUUUUUACAGAUGAGAAAAGUUCCAGAAAGACCCAGAGACAUAAUCAGGUACCUGCGUCGAGCUCUGCACAGGUGACUGGGACUGCAACCCCGGAGACCACUGUGUCAGCAAUGGGUGUGGCCAUGAGUGUGUUGCAGGGUAAGGACAGAUGAAGAGUUAUCUUAAGGAUCAUCUUUCCCUAAGAUCGUCAUCCCUUCCUGGAGUUCCUAUCUUCCAAGAUGUGACUGUCUGGAGUUCCUUGACUAGGAAGAUGGAUGAAAACAGCAAGCCUGUGGAUGGAGACUACAGGGGAUAUGGGAGGCAGGGAAGAGGGGUUGUUUCUUUUAAUAAAUCAUCAUUGUUAAAAGCACUCAUACUAUUUGAGUUAUUUGGUUAAAGGUGAGGAGGAGGGGGAGGAGGACAGAUGACAU